This 166-nucleotide ribosomal RNA is filed under the name uncultured bacterium. RNAcentral's name for it is "partial 16S rRNA". It matches the Rfam family "Bacterial small subunit ribosomal RNA", at positions 355 to 511 of the family's 1533-position model. The record is from RNAcentral.
UAGGGAAUCUUCGGCAAUGGACGAAAAGUCUGACCGAGCAACGCCGCGUGAGUGAAGAAGGUUUUCGGAUCGUAAAACUCUGUUGGUAGAGAAGAACGUUGGUGAGAGUGGAAAGCUCAUCAAGUGACGGUAACUACCCAGAAAGGGACGGCUAACUACGUGCCUG